This is a long non-coding RNA of Sinocyclocheilus rhinocerous, 885 nucleotides long. RefSeq lists it as uncharacterized. The transcript is spliced from 3 exons. The record is from RefSeq and is a predicted model, not a curated record. NCBI's taxonomy places the organism in Eukaryota, Metazoa, Chordata, Actinopteri, Cypriniformes, Cyprinidae.
GACCAGGGUUGGGCACCCCUGUUGUAACCAAUAACAUGACUGGAGCAGCAGCAUUCAGGGUUAAAUCACUCCCACGUGACUAACACCAGACCUUCACUAAGCCUGUCAGUAAUUAUAGCGAUGAGGCUGAACUCACAGGUCGGAUCCCAUUGCAUGUAGUUAAAACACUGAUGCAUUUAGCACAUACUAUACAUGUUUCCAUGCGUCAGCUCCAGAUAUGAAUGCAGUCCGACAGAUCUCAUUAACAUCUGAUCUUUUUACCUGCGGUCAUCUACACACCACCACCCAAGCGAUGUGUUUACCUCGGGAAGAGGACGGACUCUCAACCGGAAAUACGCUCUCAAAGCGAUCGGAACGCAAAUAUUGGGUUUUAGCGACACCAAGCGGAGGGGAAGGAUAAAGAGAUCUCUUUUAAGCUGCUACACUGAUUUUAGCCUGUCAAUCUUUAUCUUAAAAAAUCUUUAUCUGCUGCUUCUGUGGAGUGGAAGAUCAGUCUGUCCGUCAUGUUUUUUGGGAUUGUGUUCAUGUAGCUUCUUUCUGGAAGACAUUUUGUACUGUGUGUUUCUAUCUUAGACAAUUUCCUUUGGUGUUUAAGGAUGUCUUAUUUGGUUUUCAUAACUCUUAACAAGAAUCUAAAAGACAAGUAUUUUCUAAUAAAUCUAUAACCUACAUAAAUCUAUAUGUUGUGCAUGUUGUAUGUAUGAGGGAGGCAGGGAUUUAGCAAUGUGUUUUUUUUUUUCUCCUUACCCCUUAAUGUUUUGUUUUUGUUUUUUUUCCAGGUUCGUUGUAAAUUGUUUAUAUUAUAGCUCUUAUUGUUGUUGUAAUCUGUUUUGACCUGUAAAUGUGUGUAUUUACCUUUUAUAUAUGUUCAAUAAAAAAAAUCAA